Molecule: ribosomal RNA, 482 nt
Filed under: uncultured bacterium
Lineage: Bacteria
Description: partial 16S ribosomal RNA
Rfam family: Bacterial small subunit ribosomal RNA
Source: RNAcentral
GACGAACGCUGGCGGCGUGCUUAACACAUGCAAGUCGAACGAUGAAGAAGAGAAACGCGAACUUCGGUUCAAAUUUCACUUCGGAUUAGUGGCAGACGGGUGAGUAACGCGUGAGCAACCUACCUCUUACAAAGGGAUAGCCUCGGGAAACCGUGAUUAAUACCAUAUGACACAUUCAUAAGGCAUCUUAAGAAUGUUAAAGCUACGGCGGUAAGAGAUGGGCUCGCGUCCCAUUAGCUAGUUGGUGAGGUAACGGCCCACCAAGGCGACGAUGGGUAACCGGCCUGAGAGGGUGAACGGUCACAUUGGAACUGAGACACGGUCCAAACUCCUACGGGAGGCAGCAGUGGGGAAUAUUGCACAAUGGAGGGAACUCUGAUGCAGCGACGCCGCGUGAGCGAUGAAGGAAUUCGUAUUGUAAAGCUCUGUUCUAUGGGAAGAAAAGGACUGUACCAUAGGAGAAAGCCCCGGCUAAAUACGUG